GCCCGGGUGGUGUAGCCAGGUUAGCAUAGGAGCCUGUCGAGCUCCAGACCCGGGUUCAAAUCCCGGCCCGGGCGCCA
RNAcentral lists this transfer RNA (77 nucleotides) under Thermoproteota archaeon. RNAcentral describes it as "tRNA-Asp". It matches the Rfam family "tRNA". Rfam says of the family: Transfer RNA (tRNA) molecules are approximately 80 nucleotides in length. Their secondary structure includes four short double-helical elements and three loops (D, anti-codon, and T loops). RNAcentral also lists the same sequence under 2 other names. The record is from RNAcentral. Lineage: Archaea; Thermoproteati; Thermoproteota.